Long non-coding RNA from Equus caballus (horse), 2826 nucleotides. RefSeq lists it as uncharacterized. The record is from RefSeq and is a predicted model, not a curated record. Lineage: Eukaryota; Metazoa; Chordata; Mammalia; Perissodactyla; Equidae.
AGAAUGCAAAUGGUCUAUAAAUUUUUAAUGACGAGGUCGUGAAUACAAUUGUAUAGCGUGCAUUUACCAGCUUCCCAGGACUCUGCUAAGCCCGCCCAUGAAAGGUCUUCGUGAGUGCUCAUGGAAGCCUUGAGGCCCGCGCUGUUGGGCCUCGCCCAGGGAUGCUGGGACCUGUGUGGUGUGGUUAGGGAACCCAGCCAAGGUCACACAGGUCCUGAUGGAGCCAAGGUUCAAACUGACGCUGCUUCGUUUCUCACUUGGGAGCCUGAACUCUUUAUCCCUUUUGCUAAAAGAUGUCAUUCUAUGUGUUAAUGCUGGUGAAGAUUAAAUGAGUUAAUAUAAAGAGCUUUGAACAGUGCUGGGCACGUGGUACUUGAUAAACGUCGCUGUUAUCUGGAAACUUUUUCCCUUCCCCCAGCCAAUUUUGUGCCUCAGUGGCCCGGGCAGUGGCCUUGGUCACGAGAUAAGGGUGUGGCAGAGCUGCUGCCAGGUGGAGGGUGGCAGGGAUUCCCCAGGCUUCAUAGGAGCAGAGGGGGUUGGUUUGCAAUCCUGGAGUGGAUUGGGGCUAGAGGUCUGGAAGCCGGGACUUUCUCCGUGGCCGGUGGCUGUGAGAGAUGCAUAUUGCGUCGUUCUUUCUAUUUUUUGUGACAGAGCAGAGCAGAGGCUUUUUUUUGGUUCAAACGGGAGUCAGGGGCAAGGCCGAGCAGAGAAGCAGAGCAGCUGUCAGGAGAAUUCAGGCUGGAGCAGGCUCAGGGCCCAGGGAGAGGGGGGACACAGCGAAACAGGACUUCUGCUGGCCAGCCACGGCCCCGCGCCGCCCUCCCGGGCCCAAUUGCUUAGGAGAAGGAAGGAAACCAGCCUUUUCCCACUGCCAUUGUGUCCCUGACAGGUUCGUCAAUCAGCUCGGCUCAUCCUCAGCCUCUCACGCUGGCUGUCGCUCCUCUUUGACGGGAGAGGAAGAGGAAGGGGAAGAGGAAGAGGAGCUUCAAGGGGAGGGGCAGGGCCAGCCGAGCUGGGCCUCCAGAGCCCCUGCUCCUUUCACGCCAGAGAGCUGUCCCCGGCCGGCCUGUGUCCCAGAGAAUCAACGCCAGGGAGGCAGGAAUCCACCAGCGGCGGGAGCUCCUGGCACUCAGGGCCUGGAGAAAGGCGAGGGUCGAGCCCAGGACUCCUGCCUGGGCCUGUGUCCCUCGCCGACCCCUGCCUUUCACCUUCCUGUCCCCGGACCCUGGACAGACCCUUGGCCUGCAGGGGCGGCCUGUCCCCGUGCCAGCGCAGCGGGCUCGGCUCUCACAACAAUAGCUGGAAGGGCCUCUUGGAGCAAGUACUUCCUGAAGUGCCCAGAACAGCCACUGUCCCCGCGGCUCAGGAACAAUCACAGCUCAUGCCAGCUUCCGUGCUCCCAUCGGGGCCUCGGCAGAGCCCGGGCCUGCGGCUGUGGCUCUCACUCCAGGGGGACAGGCCCCAGCUGCUCUAAGCCUCAGGGGUCCAGGGCAGGCCUGGGGACAUGUGGCUGUUUGUUCCCGUGGAAGCCAGAGGAAAACCCCUGGAUUCUCACUUUCCUUUCCCCUUCCUGUAAACCAACUGCCUCGUCCUUGAUCUUUGUACUUCUGUCGUCUUUCUUCAGGCUUUGUAAACAAAGAGGGAGAAGAAGAAAAAAAGAGCCAAAAGGAAAAUAUAAAUUCUGGAAUCAGACGAUACACUCAAUUAUUCAUUCAGCAACAUCGAGUGAGGCCUGCUGUGUGCCAAGAACAAUGGGGUACGAAAAAAAGAGUGAGUUGGUCUCCACUCACUUACGUAUUUAUCUACUCACGUCAUAAUAAGGCUAGAGCUCCCGCCGGGUUCCAGGCAUUGUGGUUGUGGCGAUGCCUGGGUGGCUUGGGCCCUGCCUGCUGGGGGACGGAGCCAGUGGCCCAGCAGCUGAAACGCAGCAGCUGAUGUGGUCGUGGUGAAGAUGACAGCGAGCCAAUGCAUGUGGAGCGCUGCGACGCCCCUGCCGGCAGUAGGUGCUGUGGAUUGUCGCUAUGAUUGGGGCGGGGGCGGACAGGAAGCCUGCAGAGAGGAGCAAUCCGUCACCUGUAGGAGCUCCGACUGUGGACAGGCGCCAGCAAACUGAGCAGAGGCGGAAAGACCGGGCUCCUGCCUGCGGGGAACCAACAGUAUCCAGUUGUUGCUAAGAACUUGGAAUCCGAGAGACCUGGGUUCCAAUCUCAUCUCAUCUGUGUGACCUUGGACAAGUUAUUUGUCCUCGUUGAGCUCCACUGUUCUCAUCUAUAAAAUGGGCGUAAAGACAGCACAUUCAUUUCAGGGACGCGGGAGGCCUGACUGAGAUGAUCCUUGUAAAUAGCCGAGAAGACACAGCCCUGGAAAAGAGGUAGCUGCUAAGACCGUUGGUAAAAAGCGAAAGAGGGGGAGACUUUUAUAACAAGCAGGAGGAGGAUGUCCUCGGACCGUCUGGCUCACCUCUCGGUGGCUUCCCAUUGCUCUAGAAUGAAGAUGUACUUAGCCCCCUGGCUCUCCUUUACUCCAUCUGUCCUGUUGGUAUGUACACGGCCUAGAAGCUUCUGAUCACAGGAGGGACAUCGUUUACUAGAGGAAGGCUUCCCCGCCGCCAGAUGUGGUCAAGCGCAUGUACCCCUGCUUCACAGCUCACAGCUCCCUUCGUUUUCGGUAGUGUCUGUCACCCCCUCUGAACUGUAAGCCCCUGUGGAGCCAGAGGUCGUUCUCUUUUACUUAUUGUAUUUCUGGCACUUAGUGUGGUCCCUGUAACAGGAAACCAGUAAACAUUUACUAAAUGGGUGAAUAAACAAGCUGAAGAUUGAACUCUUA